UUCGGCAAUGGGCGACGGCACGAGCGCCGGCUCCGGUUCGGCGAUGGGCGGCGUAGCAAACGCCGGUGCCGGGUC
RNAcentral lists this transfer RNA (75 nucleotides) under Burkholderia lata. RNAcentral's name for it is "tRNA-Arg". The record is from RNAcentral. Lineage: Bacteria; Pseudomonadati; Pseudomonadota; Betaproteobacteria; Burkholderiales; Burkholderiaceae.